This 429-nucleotide ribosomal RNA is filed under the name Bacillota bacterium. RNAcentral's name for it is "Firmicutes bacterium partial 16S ribosomal RNA". It matches the Rfam family "Bacterial small subunit ribosomal RNA", at positions 355 to 776 of the family's 1533-position model. The record is from RNAcentral. Lineage: Bacteria; Bacillati; Bacillota.
UAGGGAAUCUUCCACAAUGGACGCAAGCCUGAUGGAGCAACGCCGCGUGAGUGAAGAAGGUUUUCGGAUCGUAAAGCUCUGUUGUUGGUGAAGAAGGAUAGAGGCAGUAACUGGUCUUUAUUUGACGGUAAUCAACCAGAAAGUCACGGCUAACUACGUGCCAGCAGCCGCGGUAAUACGUAGGUGGCAAGCGUUGUCCGGAUUUAUUGGGCGUAAAGCGAGCGCAGGCGGAAUGAUAAGUCUGAUGUGAAAGCCCACGGCUCAACCGUGGAACUGCAUCGGAAACUGUCAUUCUUGAGUGCAGAAGAGGGGAGUGGAAUUCCAUGUGUAGCGGUGGAAUGCGUAGAUAUAUGGAAGAACACCAGUGGCGAAGGCGGCUCUAUGGUCUGCAACUGACGCUGAGGCUCGAAAGCAUGGGUAGCGAACAGG